RNAcentral lists this ribosomal RNA (253 nucleotides) under uncultured bacterium. RNAcentral describes it as "partial 16S ribosomal RNA". It matches the Rfam family "Bacterial small subunit ribosomal RNA", at positions 524 to 776 of the family's 1533-position model. The record is from RNAcentral.
UACGUAGGGGGCUAGCGUUGUCCGGAUUUAUUGGGCGUAAAGAGCGUGUAGGCGGCCAGGUAAGUCCGGUGUGAAAGUCAAAGGCUCAACCUUUGAAUGCCGCUGGAUACUGCUUGACUUGAGUCCGGAAGGGGCGAGUGGAAUUCCUGGUGUAGCGGUGAAAUGCGCAGAUAUCAGGAGGAACACCAAUGGCGAAGGCAGCUCGCUGGAACGGUACUGACGCUGAGGCGCGAAAGCGUGGGGAGCAAACAGG